UCAGGACGAACGCUGGCGGCGUGCCUAAUACAUGCAAGUCGAGCGGACCUCAUAAGAGCUUGCUCUUAUGAGGUUAGCGGCGGACGGGUGAGUAACACGUGGGCAACCUGCCCUGUAGACUGGGAUAACUUCGGGAAACCGGAGCUAAUACCGGAUAAUCAAUGACACCACAUGGUGUCAUUGUAAAAGUUGGGAUACUAACACUACAGGAUGGGCCCGCGGCGCAUUAGCUAGUUGGUGAGGUAACGGCUCACCAAGGCGACGAUGCGUAGCCGACCUGAGAGGGUGAUCGGCCACACUGGGACUGAGACACGGCCCAGACUCCUACGGGAGGCAGCAGUAGGGAAUCUUCCGCAAUGGACGAAAGUCUGACGGAGCAACGCCGCGUGAGUGAUGAAGGCCUUCGGGUCGUAAAGCUCUGUUGUUAGGGAAGAACAAGUACCGUUCGAACAGGGCGGUACCUUGACGGUACC
This 473-nucleotide ribosomal RNA is filed under the name Bacillus sp. Z1-19. RNAcentral describes it as "bacterial SSU rRNA". It matches the Rfam family "Bacterial small subunit ribosomal RNA", at positions 24 to 479 of the family's 1533-position model. Lineage: Bacteria; Bacillati; Bacillota; Bacilli; Caryophanales; Bacillaceae. The record is from RNAcentral.